UUGUAAAUUUUUUGAAACAGUGCACUCUUUUAAUAUUAGCAACCAUUUACUAUUUUCCUAUCAAAAGAUCUUCUUAGCCUUUCAAUUCCCACAAAAAAUUAAAAUGUGGCAUUAAUUGACUAUAUAUAUGUGCCUUAUGAACAAUUCCUCGGUAGAUAUGACUGUGUGAACUUUCAAUUUGAGAGAUGUGUGUAUUGUAGAAGGAGAAUAAUAAUCAAAGUUCAUGUUUCGUGUAGCUUUCUGAGACGUGCAAAUGGAGUGAUCGAUUGCUAUCGCAACACAUAAAGUGUAAUAUUUAACCUGGAAGUGGAAUGUGCACGUUUGAAUACAAGUUAUACCAUCGGGAACUUUAGUAAGUUGUCAUAAAAUUUAAAAAUAUAGUUGUACAAAUUUUAGAAUUUUAGAAUUUUAAUAAUAUAUUGUUUUUCAGGCUUCUUUGGAUUGAGCUACAUAGAAGACAUGAAUAUGUAUGAUGACAACAUAAAAUGGUAAUAAUUAUUUGCUAUGUAGAGGGGUAGCAAUUCUAUGUAUGAGGUGGAUAGUGUCAACUUUUAUGAUGUAGUAACUCUCUUGAUUUGUAGAAAAAAUCUUCCCAAUCUCUCUUAUAUAGUCUGGUAAUUGUUUACUAUAUGUAGAGGGGAAACAAUUGUAUCUGUGUUUUGUAUGAUGUGAGAUUUUAUGUUGUAACUCUUUUGGUUUGUAGAAAACCUUCUCACUUUCUCUUUUGGUUUUGUAUGAUGUGAGCUUUUAUGUUGUAAUCUCUAAUAUUGAUGUAUUUAAGCUUAAGUUACAAAAAAAAAUCCACCCUUUCUCA
Trifolium pratense (red clover) is the source of this 814-nucleotide long non-coding RNA. RefSeq lists it as uncharacterized. The record is from RefSeq and is a predicted model, not a curated record. NCBI's taxonomy places the organism in Eukaryota, Viridiplantae, Streptophyta, Magnoliopsida, Fabales, Fabaceae. The transcript has 2 exons.